GAUGAACGCUGGCGGUGUGCCUAAUACAUGCAAGUCGAGCGAACAGACGAGGAGCUUGCUCCUCUGACGUUAGCGGCGGACGGGUGAGUAACACGUGGAUAACCUACCUAUAAGACUGGGAUAACUUCGGGAAACCGGAGCUAAUACCGCAUAAUAUAUUGAACCGCAUGGUUCAAUAGUGAAAGACGGUUUUGCUGUCACUAAUAGAUGGACCCGGGCCGCAUUAGCUAGUUGGUAAGGUAACGGCUAACCAAGGCAACGAUGCGAAGCCGACCGGAAGGGUGGUUCGGCAAAAUGGAACCUGGAAACCGUUCAGAAUCCCAAGGGAGGCCGCAGUUGGGAAUAUUUCCGAAUGGGGGGAAGGCCGAACGAGGCAACGCGGGGGGGUGAAGAAGGGUCUCCGGUUGUAAAAACCCUGUUUUUGGGAAGAAAAAAAGGUGUAAGAAACUCUGCUCGUCUGACGGUAACCAAAGAAGAAGGCCCGGCCAACCUAGUG
Molecule: ribosomal RNA, 496 nt
Filed under: uncultured bacterium
Lineage: Bacteria
Description: partial 16S ribosomal RNA
Rfam family: Bacterial small subunit ribosomal RNA
Source: RNAcentral